Molecule: non-coding RNA, 363 nt
Organism: Pelobates cultripes (western spadefoot toad)
Lineage: Eukaryota; Metazoa; Chordata; Amphibia; Anura; Pelobatidae
Source: the annotation of a GenBank genome assembly
CGCUGAGCUAAAAGUGAAUCCAAGAUGGCUGCCGCUGCGUGGUCAGUAUCCGAACGGCGGCCACCCCACGAAUCAAUUAACUGGGGAACGCUACAAUGUAGCAAUCUGUUAAUGGGAGCCACACGACCUCCUGUGUGUGGUCUCCCAUUUGGUACUUUAUGCGUUUCAUGAACAGUGUUGAAAGUCACUGUUCGUGAAACUACCAUAUGAAUGCUAACAGCUUUCGUGCCACUAGCAUACGAAUGCCCUCUAUCACCUUUUACCGCGAACACAUAAAACAACAUAGGUUAAACAGCCUUUCUAGGACACCCAUGAGAUAUAUACAGUAAUAGUCUGAAGUGGCUAGGUUUGCCACAAUGCUCC